AUCGUGUAUAAUUAAUUAUAGGCCUAUAUUUAAAAUAAUUACAUUUUAAUUGAAUUGUACUUUUUAUUUCAGACCUCGUACCGUAAACACUGCUUAAGCGUCACAUAAAUAACUGCAAAAAAUCAGUCACAUUGUCAAGAUUCUUGACCACUGUAUAAAUUUGAUGAAAAUGGAAAAUUAUUGACCGGUGUAGCCGGGGUGUAGCACGCGUUUCUUUUUGUAGUCGCUGAAAAAUGACGCAACCGAACCGAGGAGUAUAUAAGAGCCCGUCCCCCGCAUGACGUCCUCUUGGAGUCGUUGCUAUCGCUUGACGAGAACCAUCUUCUCAUCAUGAGAGCGAAGUGGCGAAAGAAGCGCAUGCGCAGGCUGAAGCGUAAAAGGAGAAAGAUGAGG
RNAcentral lists this long non-coding RNA (393 nucleotides) under Sinocyclocheilus anshuiensis. RNAcentral describes it as "lncRNA (ENSSANG00000040295.1)". The record is from RNAcentral. Lineage: Eukaryota; Metazoa; Chordata; Actinopteri; Cypriniformes; Cyprinidae.